AGAGUUUGAUCCUGGCUCAGGACGAACGCUGGCGGCGUGCUUAACACAUGCAAGUCGAACGGAAAGGCCCUUCGGGGUACUCGAGUGGCGAACGGGUGAGUAACACGUGGGUGAUCUGCCCUGCACUCUGGGAUAAGCCUGGGAAACUGGGUCUAAUACCGGAUAGGACCGCAUGCUUCAUGGUGUGUGGUGCAAAGCUUUUGCGGUGUGGGAUGGGCCCGCGGCCUAUCAGCUUGUUGGUGGGGUAAUGGCCUACCAAGGCGACGACGGGUAGCCGGCCUGAGAGGGUGACCGGCCACACUGGGACUGAGAUACGGCCCAGACUCCUACGGGAGGCAGCAGUGGGGAAUAUUGCACAAUGGGCGCAAGCCUGAUGCAGCGACGCCGCGUGAGGGAUGACGGCCUUCGGGUUGUAAACCUCUUUCAAUAGGGACGAAGCGCAAGUGACGGUACCUAUAGAAGAAGCACCGGCCAACUACGUGCCAGCAGCCGCGGUAAUACGUAGGGUGCGAGCGUUGUCCGGAAUUACUGGGCGUAAAGAGCUCGUAGGUGGUUUGUCGCGUUGUUCGUGAAAACUCACAGCUUAACCGUGGGCGUGCGGGCGAUACGGGCAGACUAGAGUACUGCAGGGGAGACUGGAAUUCCUGGUGUAGCGGUGGAAUGCGCAGAUAUCAGGAGGAACACCGGUGGCGAAGGCGGGUCUCUGGGCAGUAACUGACGCUGAGGAGCGAAAGCGUGGGGAGCGAACAGGAUUAGAUACCCUGGUAGUCCAA
This 773-nucleotide ribosomal RNA is filed under the name uncultured bacterium. RNAcentral describes it as "bacterial SSU rRNA". It matches the Rfam family "Bacterial small subunit ribosomal RNA", at positions 8 to 798 of the family's 1533-position model. The record is from RNAcentral.